GAAUAUUUCAUUGUUUUUUUCUUUCAUAUUCGUACUUAAAUACGCAUUUGUAUAUGUGUAUAUAUAUAAAUGCUUGUGAAUUUGCUUAGAUUGCGACUUAUAUUCAAUAACAAUUUUUGUCGGUCGUCAAUCUCCUUCUUUAAGCUUAAGCACUCUACCGAAUUUAAUAAAGUAUAUGAAAGUGUGUGUCUGUGCGUUUGUAUGUAUACAUAUUUAAAAUAAAUAAAUAAAUGCUCAUUUACUUAGUUCGCAACGUUUAUAUGAAUAAAAAGAUGUAACUUUAAACGACAUGAUUUAAGGAUAUAAAAAAAAAAAAGAAGCAAGAAGCCAGCAGCACUCUACAUACUCAUACUUAAGCAAACAUUUCAGUUGGAACAGAAAACAGAGCUGUAAAGAGAUGAAAAAUUAUAAAAAACGAACUGACAGCAAUACACACAUAUAAGUAUACGGCACAGACGAUCGCAUUAAAGGACGUUUUUGAAGCCGGAUCUCAGGAAUGUAGCUAAAAGUUCAUAGACCGAAGAGAUUUACUUUAUUGUGUCAAACUGGACAUCAAGAUAACUUUAAUGCGCAAACGUUUCUAGAUACAUCUCACACUUGUUAUAUGUGAACGGCGCUAAAUUAAAGUUCUCAAAUGCUAUUCAAUUUCAGCGUUUAGCAAUAGAGUUGAUUGUCUUUAAAAAUAUGACUACAGAUUUUUAUGUAAAAGAAUUCAAUUUAUAGAAAAGUUUGAUUCGAAUAAAAAUCAUGGCCAUGCAUAAUACAAUGUUUUCCGGGGCGACAGCCAAAUUCCAAACUCGACCGGCCUCACCACAAUUUGCCAACUUCUCACCACCCGUUGAUUAUCCUCAUGUGCAAACUCAAAUACCUUCUGAUCGCGGUUUGGCAUCCCAUCAUCACCAUCAUCAGGUAUUUGGUCAGCAGCCGAUACAGCAUCAGCAGCAACAAAAACAGCAACAACAACAUGCCUCUUUGUCGAUGUCGAUGCGUCAACCAAUAAAAACGUUGAAAGCAAGGUCGGCAUCAUCUUCUUCCGGUCAUCACGUGACUACUUCGAUGGGUAUUGGUAUGAUGUCACCCAUGUCUGGAGGAAGCUUGGGUCAUCAUCGAGGUGAUUUAAUAUUUCCUGAUGAUGUAGACAGCAUUGAAUUUUGUCUACCACCACCGCCAGCUCCCUCCAAUGAAAUGGCUCACGGCAUGAGCAAUGAGCUAUUGUUAGUGCAUGGGCAUAAUGGUUUAUGUGCCGGAGAUCCUUUCCCCGAACGGCGAAGAAGAGGACAUGGCAGACGUAGCAACCAUAAAAUGGAUGUAGAGCAUCAGGUAAACGUUAAAUGGUCUCGUAAAAAUAUUGCUGCUACGAUGGAACGUUUUGAACCCACACAACAUCAUUCGUCUUCAUCCACUUCUUCGUUGGAGUAUGGUUUCGCUGCCAGCGUAGUUACACCCUCUUCAACUCCUUCACAUCAUUCACAGCAGCAAAUAUCUCCAGCCCCCUCACAAACGUACCACGGUGUUGCUGGUGCCACAGCACCUUAUAAUCAUGUUUACUCAUAUGCUUAUUAUGAACCUGGGGCAAUUAAGUGUCAUACAAAUAUACCACAGAAGGAUGGACCUACUGCCAUAAUGCCAGCUUCCUCGGCUAUCGCUGGCACCUCCAAAAGUCCGCCACGCAAUUCAAUAAGAGCUCUAUUGGCCAAAAGUUUUCGUUCCAAAUCCAGUAACGGUCAGUCUACCUCCUCUUCGCCCAGUGCUGAUGACAGACAUACCUAUACCACCCGUUAUGGCACCACCGAAAAUCUUUACGAGGAAGUCAAUGAUCAAAAAAUACGUAAAGUGCUAUCGGAUAAUCGAAUAGCCACUACAAAUGUUAAGGAAGAAUUGCGAAGAGUUCAACAUAAUCAUUUUCGAGUCUUAGACGAGCUCAACCUUUCAUUAGAAGCUUUGAUUAUGCCCCAAACGCCACCUGAUGUUAGUCCCAAUCAAGUUGAAGAUGAUGAGGGUCCCACGACAAGCGCUGCAGCUGUUGCGGCAAUCGCUUCUUCUAGCACUGGAACUUCAGCGGUCGGUUUACAAAGACCACGCCGUGGAGGCCUAUUAGGUGGAGCAUCUUCAUCAUCGUCGACAGUGUCGUCGUCACAACAACGUACUUUGUCUCACGCUAGUUUGGAAAAUUUGUCCUCAACUCUCAACUCCAUUGAACUUAAAGAUCACGCUCACAGUUCGUGCAUUAAUCCUGAGUUUGAUGAGGGUGACCUGGACAGUGGCUUUAGCGGUAGCGGCAGCAGCAGCGGAGCCAGUUAUAAUGAAAGUUUACGUUAUUAUAAAACCGGUUCAGCUAACACUCAUCAACAACAUCCGCAACAUCAGACACAACCACAGCAUCUUCAGACCACCACAUUACCAAACAAUAUACGCAGUUACCGAUCAUCGACUGCUUCCGGUACCUCAACCUCCAAAAGUAGUAUGGCUUCGUCCGAGGAUCAAGGCAUUGGUAUGAUGACUUCAUUAGGCGGCUGCGCUGCUGCCACCCUUGUAACAUCACCCGCCAAUGGCAGUGGUGCAAUAGCAUCACCUUUCAACUAUGUGCGCCGCUGCACUGAUACACAGCGAGCGUCAAUGCGUUCAGUUUCUGCCGCCUCAGCGACGGGUGCAAAACCGAAAAAAAACUUUUGGAAAAUAAAACCGUGAUGCUGCAAAAAAGCAUUACGAAAAUUCUGUAAGAAAUGGAGUAUUGUGGUGGCAUACAAUACAAAGACUGCCUUAUAUGAAGAUAUAAAAUAUCAAUAUACCGACAUUAUAUUAACCAGCAGCUACUUGGACCCACUGGAAGAGUGUCUGCGUCCCAUAUUUCAGCAUACCUAUGAAUAAUUAAGCUACAUAUGUAAGUGGAUGUAAACGUAAGUUCAUUAUUACAAAAGAGCACAUUUUUCCAAUUGUUGCAUAAAAGAAAUCAAACUUGUACUGUUGUUAACUGGCACCGAUACGGAAAAUUGACUCUUAAUAGAUUUAAAAGUGUAAUUACUGCUAUAGCCCACUUAAGGAUGCAUUAAAAACUUAAAUACGUAUAUUUGCAUUACAUCAAAUAGAAAAGCGAAGCAAACAAAUAACUGAUAAGUAUGUAAUUAAAACUGCAUUUAAAAAAAAUAAACGCAAAACUAAAUAAUAAAAAAAAAAAAAGAAAAAACUGAAACUAAUACUGCCGUCUAUAGGAAACUAUUUACACGACAUGGAUAGACAUGCCCGUGUUUGUGUACACGCCUUUAUGUAUACUUCCGUGUGUGUGUGUGUGUG
Molecule: RNA transcript, 3291 nt
Organism: Glossina fuscipes
Lineage: Eukaryota; Metazoa; Arthropoda; Insecta; Diptera; Glossinidae
Gene name: cell wall protein RBR3
Exons: 9
Source: RefSeq, a predicted model, not a curated record